UGGGGAAUUGUUCGCAAUGGGCGCAAGCCUGACGACGCAACGCCGCGUGGAGGAUGAAGGUCUUCGGAUCGUAAACUCCUGUUGCCCGGGACGAAUAGCUUCGACCUAACACGUCGGAGUAUGACGGUACCGGGUGAGGAAGCCCCGGCUAACUCUGUGCCAGCAGCCGCGGUAAUACAGAGGGGGCAAGCGUUGUUCGGAAUUACUGGGCGUAAAGGGCGCGUAGGCGGCCUGUUAAGUCGAACGUGAAAUCCCUGGGCUCAACCCAGGAACUGCGUCCGAUACUGGCUGGCUUGAAUCCGGGAGAGGGAUGCGGAAUUCCAGGUGUAGCGGUGAAAUGCGUAGAUAUCUGGAGGAACACCGGUGGCGAAGGCGGCAUCCUGGACCGGUAUUGACGCUGAGGCGCGAAAGCCAGGGGAGCAAACGGGAUUAGAUACCCAUGUAGUCCCUGAGCGGGCUGGCAAGGCGCAU
RNAcentral lists this ribosomal RNA (471 nucleotides) under uncultured bacterium. RNAcentral's name for it is "bacterial SSU rRNA". It matches the Rfam family "Bacterial small subunit ribosomal RNA", at positions 355 to 825 of the family's 1533-position model. The record is from RNAcentral.